This 207-nucleotide non-coding RNA is filed under the name Clostridium bornimense. Its description in RNAcentral is "raiA RNA". It matches the Rfam family "raiA RNA". The record is from Rfam by way of RNAcentral. Lineage: Bacteria; Bacillati; Bacillota; Clostridia; Eubacteriales; Clostridiaceae.
UUAAAUUAGGUCUGUGGUUGAAAGUCGAUGCCAGUCGCAGGCGAAACGAUCCACGUAAGCUAAGCAAAGUCUUAGUGAUCAUGGUGCGGCUUAGAAGUGAGUCCUACCGCAAUAGAGUGCGAGAGGGUUAGUAGUGAGAGGGUAAUUCCGGGUAGCGAAAGCUCCAGUGGGCGAGUGUGGGGUCAAAGAUCAGGUCAGCUAGUUUUU